AUCCAGUUGACGAGUUCUAAAUAGGACGAAACGUGCGCCCUGGAU
This is a non-coding RNA of Schistosoma curassoni, 45 nucleotides long. Lineage: Eukaryota; Metazoa; Platyhelminthes; Trematoda; Strigeidida; Schistosomatidae. The record is from Rfam.